UACGGGGGGGGCAAGCGUUGUUCGGAAUUACUGGGCGUAAAGGGCCAGUAGGCGGCCAACUAAGUCCGACGUGAAAUCCCAAGGCUUAACCUUGGAACUGCGUCGGAUACUGGAUGGCUUGAAUUCGGGAGAGGGAUGCAGAAUUCCAGGUGUAGCGGUGAAAUGCGUAGAUAUCAGGAGGAACACCGGUGGCAAAGGCGGCUUCCUGGACAUUGACUGACGCUGAGACGCGAAAGCGUGGGGAGCAAACAGG
Molecule: ribosomal RNA, 253 nt
Filed under: uncultured bacterium
Lineage: Bacteria
Description: partial 16S ribosomal RNA
Rfam family: Bacterial small subunit ribosomal RNA
Source: RNAcentral